Molecule: ribosomal RNA, 1030 nt
Filed under: Lactiplantibacillus plantarum
Lineage: Bacteria; Bacillati; Bacillota; Bacilli; Lactobacillales; Lactobacillaceae
Description: bacterial SSU rRNA
Rfam family: Bacterial small subunit ribosomal RNA
Source: RNAcentral
GGGGGGCGUGCUAAUACAUGCAAGUCGAACGAACUCUGGUAUUGAUUGGUGCUUGCAUCAUGAUUUACAUUUGAGUGAGUGGCGAACUGGUGAGUAACACGUGGGAAACCUGCCCAGAAGCGGGGGAUAACACCUGGAAACAGAUGCUAAUACCGCAUAACAACUUGGACCGCAUGGUCCGAGCUUGAAAGAUGGCUUCGGCUAUCACUUUUGGAUGGUCCCGCGGCGUAUUAGCUAGAUGGUGGGGUAACGGCUCACCAUGGCAAUGAUACGUAGCCGACCUGAGAGGGUAAUCGGCCACAUUGGGACUGAGACACGGCCCAAACUCCUACGGGAGGCAGCAGUAGGGAAUCUUCCACAAUGGACGAAAGUCUGAUGGAGCAACGCCGCGUGAGUGAAGAAGGGUUUCGGCUCGUAAAACUCUGUUGUUAAAGAAGAACAUAUCUGAGAGUAACUGUUCAGGUAUUGACGGUAUUUAACCAGAAAGCCACGGCUAACUACGUGCCAGCAGCCGCGGUAAUACGUAGGUGGCAAGCGUUGUCCGGAUUUAUUGGGCGUAAAGCGAGCGCAGGCGGUUUUUUAAGUCUGAUGUGAAAGCCUUCGGCUCAACCGAAGAAGUGCAUCGGAAACUGGGAAACUUGAGUGCAGAAGAGGACAGUGGAACUCCAUGUGUAGCGGUGAAAUGCGUAGAUAUAUGGAAGAACACCAGUGGCGAAGGCGGCUGUCUGGUCUGUAACUGACGCUGAGGCUCGAAAGUAUGGGUAGCAAACAGGAUUAGAUACCCUGGUAGUCCAUACCGUAAACGAUGAAUGCUAAGUGUUGGAGGGUUUCCGCCCUUCAGUGCUGCAGCUAACGCAUUAAGCAUUCCGCCUGGGGAGUACGGCCGCAAGGCUGAAACUCAAGGAAAUUGACGGGGGCCCGCACAAGCGGUGGAGCAUGUGUUUUAAUUCGUAGCUACGCGAAGAACCUUAACAGGUCUUGACAUACUAUGCAAAUCUAAGAGAUAAGACGUUACCUUCAGGGACAUGGA